Molecule: long non-coding RNA, 1274 nt
Filed under: Homo sapiens (human)
Lineage: Eukaryota; Metazoa; Chordata; Mammalia; Primates; Hominidae
Description: PCBP1 antisense RNA 1
Source: RNAcentral
GAGGUGAUAUGUCAUUGUUUUGAAUUGCAUUUCUCUGGUGAUUAGUGCAGUUCAGCACCUUUUCAGAUUCCUGUUGGCCAUUUGUGGAGUCUCACUCUGUAGCCCAAGCUGGAGUGGCGUGAUCUCGACUCACUGCAACCUCCGCCUCCUGGGAUCAAGUGAUUCUCGUGCCUCAGCCUCCUGAGUAGCCGGGACUACAGGUCACAGAAUUUUCCACACUCCUUGACAGAGGUGCUUAACCCUUAUCCAUCAGCAUUCUCAGACAGCACCUCCGGUUAGGGACAGUAUCUGACCGUCCGACAUCCCUGCAGCCCCCAUGUGUCACACAGACUCAGCCUCAGGUAGAUGGUUUCCGUAGAUGGUGGCUUUCUUUGGACCCUUGACAUCAACCAGUUACUAUUUGGUCUAGGGGUCUCACCAACGCUGCUCAUCUAGCAGGGCCACACAUAACAAAUAGAAGCAGAGCAAGCCCUGGAACUCCUGCCUGACAGUGACACGACGACAGAAACAUCUUACCAGUCAGAGGACCAUGAGAAAUAGAUUCAAGGAGCAUUCCACGUGCAAGUGAGUCUUGGCCCCAUCUGCCUUUGGAUUUUAGCCGUGAACUGGAAGGUAUUGGAAAGAAGACCCUCAGAAAUAGCUUAAUCAAAAUCCCUGCGUCUGAACCAAGUGCCUUAUUUCUCUGUGGGCCUCAAGCUUCGCUGACAUCUGUGGAGCACACUGUCCUAACAGGAGUGCUGUCUGAUUUCCCAACGCUCUGCAAAACAAACAGCCUGGAAGGGUGGCUGGUGGAAGGUGGUUUUUAGAGAGAGACUUGUAGAUAACAGGAAAGUGAAGGCUGUAAGGAAGGUUGUAAUUAAACAGCACAUGGAAACACAAUCACAUUAUUGUCCCAUUCCAUAGGGAUAAUGAUGACCACUUCAGUGGGAAAAGGAGAGGUUUUAAGUCAUUAGGGACUAUGGGCCACCUUUUAGGAAGAUUUAUUUUCAAAGGUUAAAAUAGUGUUUUGGCAAUUCAAGUUUCAUUUUCAGAAAAUGUAAUUGAUGGGAACCUCAGUGACUCUGGAUGAAUAAGAUGCUGUUGAGUGGCUCUGACUUGGGCCAGCCGUGCUUCUCACAGGACCUUGGAGACCAAGGUCACUGUGAUCUCAGGUUCAGGGGGCAAGUCCUCUCCACACAGCCCUAGUUGGCCUCACAGCUGAAAAUGUCUCCCUUACUGUUGGACUCCUUUGUUCACCCACAUGAGUUUGUGAAUAAAUCCUUUCCAGUCUGAAA